CCUACGGGUGUCAGCAGUGGGGAAUCUUGCACAAUGGGCGAAAGCCUGAUGCAGCAACGCCGCGUGCAGGAAGACGGUUUUCGGAUUGUAAACUUCUAUCAAUAGGGAAGAAAGAAAUGACGGUACCUAAAUAAGAAGCCCCGGCUAACUACGGGCCAGCAGCCGCGGGAAUACGUAGGGGGCAAGCGUUAUCCGGAAUUACUGGGUGUAAAGGGAGAGUAGGCGGCAAGGUAAGCGAUAUGUGAAAGCCUUAAGCUUAACUAAAGGAUUGCAUAACGAACUAUCUAGCUAGAUUACAGGAGAGAAAAGCGGAAUUCCUAGUGUAGCGGUGAAAUGCGUAGAUAUUAGGAAGAACACCAGUGGCGAAGGCGGCUUUCUGGACUGAAACUGACGCUGAGGCUCGAAAGCGUGGGGAGCGAACAGGAUUAGAUACCCGUGUAGUC
RNAcentral lists this ribosomal RNA (443 nucleotides) under uncultured bacterium. RNAcentral describes it as "partial 16S ribosomal RNA". It matches the Rfam family "Bacterial small subunit ribosomal RNA", at positions 338 to 795 of the family's 1533-position model. The record is from RNAcentral.